CCGCCGCGAUCCCUGCGCACCACGGCCCUGCCCGCCACGGGGCGAGCCCGAUAAGAGGGCUGUGGACGUUCGGGUCUAGUUGGGAGAGACAGGGGUCCCUGACUCUUGAGCGGUCAGUCAUUUCCUCCCCAGUCCUUGUGGGUGACGUGGCUACGGUUUGGAGCAGCAAGCCCCCUCCCCGAACUAAAGGGCCUCUCCAAAGGUUAAGCCAGGGCAGUCAUUGAGGUCAAAACCAAUAUGUAGUUUCUUGACUGCAGGUGCCUGCACGACUCCCAGAAAGUCGCGUCUCCCCUAACCCCCAUGCCCAGGACCUGAGGACAAAGGUCUAGCGAUUGUCCAUCCCCUCCCCCAGUGAGGACAGCCGGGAAAGACCUGCCUUUGUUGUGUACAGGUGGUAUCUCACUGUGUUAUCCAGACUGGACUCAAAUUUCUGGGCUCCAAUGGUCCUCUCACCUCAGCCUCCCAAGUAGUCAGGACUACAGAACUCCAUGGCAAUGUUUUGAGGAUUAAAGAGGAGAGUGAUGACUAUCCAAACGUCAGAGAACGCAACUAUGAGACUAGAGACACUGGAAAACUAAAAAAGUAACGGGCCUUUGCUGACUCAGGGAGAUGAUUUCCCAAGAGGGAAGAAAACUGGAACCUGAGAAAUAAGUGAUUUAGUAAUGUGGCUGCUAAAAUACGGAAAAACUAGAAUGAAUGGCUUACACAUUUUUGAAAUGAAGUUAGAAGAGGGUUAUACUGUGAAGAAGAAUGAAAAAGCCAAACAUUUCAUUCAGGUAAGCAUAUCACAUAGGAGAAACUCUAGGUGACUUUGGUUUGGCAGUGAGUUUUUAGAUACAACACCAAAGCACAAUCCAUAAAAGAAAAGAAAGAUAGAUAAGUUGGACUUCAUUAAAAUGAAA
Molecule: long non-coding RNA, 902 nt
Filed under: Homo sapiens (human)
Lineage: Eukaryota; Metazoa; Chordata; Mammalia; Primates; Hominidae
Description: HSALNT0334027
Source: RNAcentral